RNAcentral lists this ribosomal RNA (253 nucleotides) under uncultured bacterium. Its description in RNAcentral is "partial 16S ribosomal RNA". It matches the Rfam family "Bacterial small subunit ribosomal RNA", at positions 524 to 776 of the family's 1533-position model. The record is from RNAcentral.
UACGAAGGGUGCAAGCGUCACUCGGAAUUACUGGGCGUAAAGCGUGCGUAGGUGGUUCGUUAAGUCUGAUGUGAAAGCCCUGGGCUCAACCUGGGAAUUGCACUGGAAACUGGCGGGCUAGAGUACGGUAGAGGGUAGUGGAAUUCCUGGUGUAGCAGUGAAAUGCGUAGAGAUCAGGAGGAACAUCCGUGGCGAAGGCGACUACCUGGACCAGUACUGACACUGAGGCACGAAAGCGUGGGGAGCAAACAGG